GGGGGUAUAGCUCAGUGGUAGAGCAUUUGAUUGCAGAUCAAGGGGCUCCCGGUUCAAAUCCGGGUGCCCCCUCA
This 74-nucleotide transfer RNA is filed under the name Merluccius polli (Benguela hake). Its description in RNAcentral is "tRNA-Cys". It matches the Rfam family "tRNA". From Rfam's summary of the family: Transfer RNA (tRNA) molecules are approximately 80 nucleotides in length. The record is from RNAcentral. Lineage: Eukaryota; Metazoa; Chordata; Actinopteri; Gadiformes; Merlucciidae.